AUUGAACGCUGGCGGCAGGCCUAACACAUGCAAGUCGAGCGGUAGAGAGGUGCUUGCAUCUCUUGAGAGCGGCGGACGGGUGAGUAAUGCCUAGGAAUCUGCCCUAGUGGUGGGGGAUAACGUUCGGAAACGGACGCUAAUACCGCAUACGUCCUACGGGAGAAAGCGGGGGAUCUUCGGACCUCGCGCCAUUAGAUGAGCCUAGGUCGGAUUAGCUAGUUGGUGAGGUAAUGGCUCACCAAGGCGACGAUCCGUAACUGGUUUGAGAGGACGAUCAGCCACACUGGAACUGAGACACGGUCCAGACUCCUACGGGAGGCAGCAGUGGGGAAUAUUGGACAAUGGCGCAAGCCUGAUCCAGCCAUGCCGCUGUGUGAAGAAGGCUCGUGU
Molecule: ribosomal RNA, 390 nt
Filed under: uncultured bacterium
Lineage: Bacteria
Description: bacterial SSU rRNA
Rfam family: Bacterial small subunit ribosomal RNA
Source: RNAcentral